Molecule: ribosomal RNA, 377 nt
Filed under: uncultured eukaryote
Lineage: Eukaryota
Description: partial 18S ribosomal RNA
Rfam family: Eukaryotic small subunit ribosomal RNA
Source: RNAcentral
CAAUAGCGUAUAUUAAAGUUGUUGCAGUUAAAAAGCUCGUAGUUGGAUUUCGGAGCCGACCGGGCGGUCUGUCGAGAGACACGCACUGCUCGGUGGCUCUUCCUCUCGGAGGCCCUGGCUGCCCUUAACUGGAGCGGGCAGGGGAUUCGGGACGUUUACUUUGAAAAAAUUAGAGUGUUCAAAGCAGGCCGGUGCUUGGAUACAUUAGCAUGGAAUAAUGGAAUAGGGCUUGGGUCCUAUUUUGUUGGUUUUCGGGACCGAGGUCAUGGUUAAGAGGGACAGUUGGGGGCAUUCGUAUUCAAUUGUCAGAGGUGAGAUUCUUGGAUUUAUGGAAGACGAACAACUGCGAAAGCAUUUGCCAAGGAUGUUUUCAUUAA